This 465-nucleotide ribosomal RNA is filed under the name uncultured bacterium. RNAcentral describes it as "bacterial SSU rRNA". It matches the Rfam family "Bacterial small subunit ribosomal RNA", at positions 917 to 1382 of the family's 1533-position model. The record is from RNAcentral.
GGGCCCGCACAAGCAGCGGAGCAUGUGGUUUAAUUCGAAGCAACGCGAAGAACCUUACCAGGUCUUGACAUCCAGUAAAACUUGUAGAGAUACAUCGUGACUUCGGUCAUACUGAGACAGGUGGUGCAUGGUUGUCGUCAGCUCGUGUCGUGAGAUGUUGGGUUAAGUCCCGCAACGAGCGCAACCCCUAUCGUCCGUUACUAACACGUCGUGGUGAGGACUCAGACGAGACCGCCGGGGACAACUCGGAGGAAGGUGGGGACGACGUCAAAUCAUCAUGCCCCUUACGACCUGGGCUACACACGUGCUACAAUGGGUACAACAAAGGGUAGCGAAGCCGCAAGGUGGAGCCAAUCCCAUAAAAGUACUCUCAGUUCAGAUUGUGGGCUGCAACCCGCCCACAUGAAGUUGGAGUUGCUAGUAAUCGCGAAUCAGCAUGUCGCGGUGAAUACGUUCCCGGGCCUU